CUGUGCAGCCGACACAUCUUCGACUGCUUCCUCGACCGCCCGUUCCUCGGACGGGGCUGCUCCUUCGACCGCCUGUUCCUCGGAUGGGGCUUCGGGAGGCACCGACAGCGCAAUGAUCGGCUCACGAUCCGAUGCUCGUUCGGAGUCGGACUGCGCUCCCGUCGCCGCAGGCUCGCUCGGCAGUGCUACCUGAGGCCUUUUGGGAGGCCGCGAUAGUUCAACUCCGUGCGCUGGCCUCUUCCGCGUCGCAUGUUGCCGAACAUCGGCUUCCGUCAGCCUCACCC
This 284-nucleotide long non-coding RNA is filed under the name Elaeis guineensis (African oil palm). RNAcentral's name for it is "long non-coding RNA (EGUI_LNC006663)". Lineage: Eukaryota; Viridiplantae; Streptophyta; Magnoliopsida; Arecales; Arecaceae. The record is from RNAcentral.